RNAcentral lists this ribosomal RNA (169 nucleotides) under uncultured bacterium. RNAcentral describes it as "partial 16S ribosomal RNA". It matches the Rfam family "Bacterial small subunit ribosomal RNA", at positions 1323 to 1500 of the family's 1533-position model. The record is from RNAcentral.
AAGCUGGAUUCGCUAGUAAUCGCGCAUCAGCCACGGCGCGGUGAAUACGUUCCCGGGCCUUGUACACACCGCCCGUCAAGCCAUGAAAGCCGGGGUACCUGAAGUCCGUAACCGUAAGGAGCGGCCUAGGGUAAAACUGGUAAUUGGGGCUAAGUCGUAACAAGGUAUC